CUGAAAGGCCAGGAGAAUUUUACUUGGUUUGUAUCGUUCAGAGUGGUUCCUGUGGGCUAUACAGUUGGGCAGCCACCUAGAUUCUAGCAGUUUUAGUAAGUGCUUUCUUGAUUUUAUUCAAAUGUCUCAGUAUUCCCCAACCACCCAACCAGGCUCUCAUGUUGACUUUCAGCCAUUAUGACAUGUUAUCGUCAAUCAUCAGGUCCUGUUAGCAAGAGGGCCUAUGUCAUGGCCGCCUGUCUUCAUAUAUAAAGGGAGUAUGAGUGGGCUGCUUUGGACAAAUGGACUUGGAGUGAGGGAGGGGGAACCAAAAGAGGCUGCUGUUACAGCAAGAACCCCACUCCUGGCCAGAGUUGGGGGAUGUGAGAAGAUGGUGAAAUCCCUUAGAUGUAAGUGUUCAACAUGCCAUCUGAAGGAUUUACCAAAGAGACAAAAAGCAAAGAAGUUAUGCCAGAACAGGAACAGGAAGACAAGCACUCCCUCCUUCCCCCCAAGAAACCAGCUCUUCCCCCACUUCCCCACCAAUCCUGCAAAGAACUAGAUUUUCUGUGUUCAUCACUUGUCUUCUUGAUGCUGGAGAGCCUCUUUCUAAUCUUGCGCAUUCAGAAGAGAGGUUGACAUAGCCCUUGGACCUACCUUUUUGAAGUCAGCAGCAAAUGUCAGUGCUCUGGUUGAAGCCGCUGCUUGAAUCCAUGUUUUUCCACAUCGUGUUUUCUUCCAUGGCCAGUGAAAAGAAAAACCUCUUUUGGUGCAGGCCCAAGACCACCAUAAUCAUCAUUGAUUUUUCCUCUCUGCCUCAGGUCUCUAAAUAAAAUUCCUCUCCUUUCACUGACAAA
Molecule: long non-coding RNA, 836 nt
Filed under: Equus asinus (donkey)
Lineage: Eukaryota; Metazoa; Chordata; Mammalia; Perissodactyla; Equidae
Description: lncRNA (ENSEASG00005035399.1)
Source: RNAcentral